CAAAACACAAGGAAAUGGAGUAGUAAAAGGAAUGUCUUUGUUAGAGAGUUGUCGGUUGGUGCAAGACAUGAAAGAUCAAACUUUGAACUUACCAUGGAGUGGUCAGGUUGAUAAGACUUGAACGUAUGCUUAACGUUAAUGAAGCAGGAUGUGAUAGCAUCUGAAAUGAGUGCAUUCUUAAAUGAAUGAAGAAGAGUGGUACCGCGGAAGUAUUGUAAUUCUAACCUUUCGUCUCUUCU
This 239-nucleotide non-coding RNA is filed under the name Holdemanella biformis. RNAcentral's name for it is "Eubacterium biforme T-box sequence". It matches the Rfam family "T-box leader". Rfam says of the family: Uncharged tRNA acts as the effector for transcription antitermination of genes in the T-box leader family. The record is from RNAcentral. Lineage: Bacteria; Bacillati; Bacillota; Erysipelotrichia; Erysipelotrichales; Erysipelotrichaceae.